This 269-nucleotide ribosomal RNA is filed under the name uncultured Fastidiosipila sp. RNAcentral describes it as "partial 16S ribosomal RNA". It matches the Rfam family "Bacterial small subunit ribosomal RNA", at positions 1114 to 1382 of the family's 1533-position model. Lineage: Bacteria; Bacillati; Bacillota; Clostridia; Eubacteriales; Oscillospiraceae. The record is from RNAcentral.
GUUGCCAGCAUGAAAGAUGGGGCACUCUGGCGAGACUGCCGUUGACAAAACGGAGGAAGGUGGGGACGACGUCAAAUCAUCAUGCCCCCUUAUGUCCUGGGCUACACACGUACUACAAUGGCAACAACAGAGGGCAGCCAAACCGCGAGGUUGAGCGAAUCCCAAAAUGUUGUCUCAGUUCAGAUUGCAGGCUGAAACUCGCCUGCAUGAAGUCGGAAUUGCUAGUAAUGGCAGGUCAGCAUACUGCCGUGAAUACGUUCCCGGGCCUU